CAGGCCUAACACAUGCAAGUCGAACGGAAAGGCCCUGCUUUUGUGGGGUGCUCGAGUGGCGAACGGGUGAGUAACACGUGAGUAACCUGCCCUUGACUUUGGGAUAACUUCAGGAAACUGGGGCUAAUACCGGAUAGGAGCUCCUGCUGCAUGGUGGGGGUUGGAAAGUUUCGGCGGUUGGGGAUGGACUCGCGGCUUAUCAGCUUGUUGGUGGGGUAGUGGCUUACCAAGGCUUUGACGGGUAGCCGGCCUGAGAGGGUGACCGGCCACAUUGGGACUGAGAUACGGCCCAGACUCCUACGGGAGGCAGCAGUGGGGAAUAUUGCACAAUGGGCGGAAGCCUGAUGCAGCAACGCCGCGUGCGGGAUGACGGCCUUCGGGUUGUAAACCGCUUUCGCCUGUGACGAAGCGUGAGUGACGGUAAUGGGUAAAGAAGCACCGGCUAACUACGUGCCAGCAGCCGCGGUGAUACGUAGGGUGCGAGCGUUGUCCGGAUUUAUUGGGCGUAAAGGGCUCGUAGGUGGGUGAUCGCGUCGGAAGUGUAAUCUUGGGGCUUAACCCUGAGCGUGCUUUCGAUACGGGUUGACUUGAGGAAGGUAGGGGAGAAUGGAAUUCCUGGUGGAGCGGUGGAAUGCGCAGAUAUCAGGAGGAACACCAGUGGCGAAGGCGGUUCUCUGGGCCUUUCCUGACGCUGAGGAGCGAAAGCGUGGGGAGCGAACAGGCUUAGAUACCCUGGUAGUCCACGCUGUA
RNAcentral lists this ribosomal RNA (750 nucleotides) under uncultured bacterium. RNAcentral describes it as "bacterial SSU rRNA". It matches the Rfam family "Bacterial small subunit ribosomal RNA", at positions 43 to 804 of the family's 1533-position model. The record is from RNAcentral.